Molecule: ribosomal RNA, 253 nt
Filed under: uncultured bacterium
Lineage: Bacteria
Description: partial 16S ribosomal RNA
Rfam family: Bacterial small subunit ribosomal RNA
Source: RNAcentral
UACGAAGGGGGCUAGCGUUGUUCGGAAUUACUGGGCGUAAAGCGAGUGUAGGUGGUUGUCCAAGUUGGAUGUGAAAGCCUUGAGCUCAACUCAAGAAAUGCAUUCAGGACUGGAUGGCUAGAGGACCGGAGAGGAUAGUGGAAUUCCCAGUGUAGUGGUGAAAUACGUAGAGAUUGGGAAGAACACCAGUGGCGAAGGCGGCUAUCUGGACGGUUUCUGACACUAAGACUCGAAAGCGUGGGGAGCAAACGGG